Pezoporus flaviventris is the source of this 1159-nucleotide long non-coding RNA. RefSeq lists it as uncharacterized. NCBI's taxonomy places the organism in Eukaryota, Metazoa, Chordata, Aves, Psittaciformes, Psittacidae. The record is from RefSeq and is a predicted model, not a curated record. The transcript has 2 exons.
GCUGAGGCAGGGUACUCACAUGAACCGCCUGAACUGCACUGAACUGCCUAUUUAAAACUCAAGUGCUCAUGCUGAUGCUGUGCUUUUAGUGCCACUGGGACACUGCAAAGCUGGAUAUGCGUGUGUUCAGGACGGGCAGCCCUGUGCACACACUGCCCUGAAGAGCAAGGUCCCAGACCUAUGCCAGACCCAUGCGAGUCUGAUUACACCUCAGGGCCAAAGCGUGGCAUUCUCAUCAUUUCUGGUAUAGCUCAGCAUCCUCAAACGCCCAUCUCUGGACCUCAGCUUGAUUGGCUUUGGUCCCCAGCAAUCACAUCUCUGCACUGCAGGUUCAGUGGCUUCUUUCUCAGCCAGCAGUUUCACUCCAAGGUACUCAGAGCACCAGUGGGGAUGGGGAAGCACUCCAGCUACAGCCAGUGUAAUACACAGCCAUCCCCUGGCCAUGGACAGGGCUGCAGGGCCCUCAUGCAAGCACGGGGAGGGCACCUCUGGUAACUUCCAAACUGAAUCGUAUGCCACUGCUCCAUCCUGCUUCACUCUGUCUCACAGGUCCACUUCUACCAUGCUACAUACAGUGAACUAGCUCAUUUUUAUUUUGAAGUACUCCACACCAUUUUCUUCUUCUAGUCACUUACCUGUUUGUCCUCAGCUGGGCUCUCAGCUUUCCUGAGCACUCAAAAAGCCCCUAGAACAUUGCAGGCACCUUUGUAAGGGAUGGAGAAAUGCUGCUGCCUUCCCCAGCUGGUUCAUACAUCAUCACUACAGCUCCUCCACCAAGAUCUAGUCUGACAGCACCAAACCCAUCAUACAGGGUCAUCUGUGAUAUCAGAGCUAGCCACAAUUACAGGUGGGUGCUUGGGGGCAGAUCUCAACUUAUGUAAAUCAGAGCAACUCCACCCCCUGCAUUUGGAGUGAGAUUGAAAAUUGUAAUGUCAGCUACUAAAAUAUUAAAAUUCUGCUUCCUGGAGAGCAGUGGCAUGUAGAAGAAAGUUUGCUGUGAUUCUCAUAAGAUCCUAUUACAGGAGAGAAAGGAGAAAUGGCUGCAGAACAAAUCAUACGAAUUCCUGUAUCCAGCAGUCCAACAGUCCCUUACAAAACAAGAGAGAGAAAGCGCAUGUGUGUGGUGGAAGCAAUAAAAAGCACAUUUGUCCCCCAUUCA